This is a long non-coding RNA of Papaver somniferum (opium poppy), 676 nucleotides long. RefSeq lists it as uncharacterized. The transcript is spliced from 3 exons. NCBI's taxonomy places the organism in Eukaryota, Viridiplantae, Streptophyta, Magnoliopsida, Ranunculales, Papaveraceae. The record is from RefSeq and is a predicted model, not a curated record.
UCAAGAACAUCAAUUUUUUUAGUUUUCAUAGCUAAGUUUUAGCUCUUUGGUUCUUCUUCUUGUGAGAAGAAUAAUUAAUUUUGGUUGCGCUUCCAUUUUGAAAACACAUAAUAGCGGAGCGGAUCAUCGAAUGAUUUUCUUCCAUAAUAACAAGUUCUUUGGCGUGUGAUUUUCUUCUUCAAUUUGUGAAUAUUCGUCUCAAGCACCAGGAACAGAAAACUGCAGCAAUGGGCUACAAAAGUCAAAUAGGGCAAGUAAAAAACAAAAGGACGAGCAGGAUCAUUUGGAGCCAAAAGGCCUUUUGACAACAUUUACAGAUGCUAAGAAGAAGGAGAAAACUGGAAACAUAAUCAAGUGCACAUUGGGAUCAUUAUUUAUUUCUCUCAAGGUUCGAAGAUGGAUUUAGUUGCCACAAAAUAUAUGCACCAUCACAUUUACCAGAGACAUUGAACCAACAAAGAUGGUGUUAGAGAGUGUAUCCAACAGUAACGAAUUUGUGUAUACGAGGAUGGACUUAGUCGCCGCCAAAAAUAUGCACAGCGCAUUUACCAAUAACAUGAGCGCUCUAAGAUGGUGACUGAGUGGAAUAGAUGAGCACAUAAAGAUGGUACUCACACCAAUGAAUUUGUGGCAGUCAAAUGUAUGUACUUUUUGUUAGUAUGUAUUUAAUGUAUAA